AGGCAUCCGUAGGGGUGCCCCGCACCAUUCGCUUCGGUGCGCUGUGCCUGCCAGGGACCGGCCAAUAACGGGCUACUGGGGGCAUAGCAAGCCGAAUGUGCAGAGCGAAUGGUGCGGGGCUGAGAUCACACCCUUGGAACCUGAUCCGGGUCAUACCGGCGGAGGGAACGGAGCCGAGGCGCCA
RNAcentral lists this non-coding RNA (184 nucleotides) under Thermoanaerobaculum aquaticum. RNAcentral's name for it is "TPP sequence". It matches the Rfam family "TPP riboswitch aptamer (THI element)". From Rfam's summary of the family: Vitamin B(1) in its active form thiamin pyrophosphate (TPP) is an essential coenzyme that is synthesised by coupling of pyrimidine and thiazole moieties in bacteria. The previously detected thiamin-regulatory element, thi box was extended, resulting in a new, highly conserved RNA secondary structure, the THI element, which is widely distributed in eubacteria and also occurs in some archaea. The record is from Rfam by way of RNAcentral. Lineage: Bacteria; Pseudomonadati; Acidobacteriota; Thermoanaerobaculia; Thermoanaerobaculales; Thermoanaerobaculaceae.